AUGGCUGCAAGAAAGGAUAAUGCAGUCCUUAUUGCUUGCCAAGCUCCCAAUGGCCGUGUAACACGAGCUCAAGCUGCUAAUUGUGGAAGGUUUGGAGUGCCUCACCCAGCACCGGUACUUGUCAGAACUGAACGAAAACCAGCGACUAAAGGAAAGGCGAAACGGGGAGCUUCAGAUGAGAACACUUGUGCAAGUGCUCUAACUUCAGCUCCACCUCCUAAAAGGCGAGCAGCACUCAAGGAUGUGACAAACAUAAGCUGUGCAAACUCGUUCAGAAAUUGCACUGCUGUGACUAAGCUACAGUCAAGGCCCACACAGAAGGUAGGGCGAAAUCCAAGCAAAAACAAGCAGUGUGCAAAGAAGGCCCCUAAGCCACCUCUUCCUACUCUUAGUGGAACUUCAUUUGUUGUGAAUGAUUCUCAUAAUGUGGAAGAAACUCAGAAGGCAGAGCUUUUGCCACCAAAAGAGGAGCCCACUGCUCUGCUCGAAAACAAGGGGUCGUUGUCAUUAUGGAAUUUUGCACGGAACAGGGAGAGUGGUGUUCAUGAGCCAUUCUUUCAGGGAAGAAACACAAGAGAUAAAUCUGAAACUGCCGACUCAAACACUGGGGACUAUGUUGGCUUAAACGUUAUAGACAUUGACAAAGAUAAUGGCAAUCCACAAAUGUGUGCUUCCUAUGCGGCAGAGAUAUACAGAAACCUAAUGGCUGCAGAGCUUAUAAGGAGACCUAAAUCAAAUUACAUGGAGACUUUGCAAAGGGAUAUCACGAAGGGCAUGCGGGGCAUCCUGAUUGAUUGGCUUGUUGAGGUUUGUUUGGAUUGCUUCUGA
This 828-nucleotide ribosomal RNA is filed under the name Triticum aestivum (bread wheat). RNAcentral describes it as "partial small subunit ribosomal RNA". The record is from RNAcentral. Lineage: Eukaryota; Viridiplantae; Streptophyta; Magnoliopsida; Poales; Poaceae.